RNAcentral lists this ribosomal RNA (421 nucleotides) under uncultured bacterium. RNAcentral describes it as "bacterial SSU rRNA". It matches the Rfam family "Bacterial small subunit ribosomal RNA", at positions 355 to 768 of the family's 1533-position model. The record is from RNAcentral.
UGGGGAAUUUUGGACAAUGGGCGAAAGCCUGAUCCAGCAAUGCCGCGUGUGUGAAGAAGGCCUUCGGGUUGUAAAGCACUUUUGUCCGGAAAGAAAUCCUCUGGGUUAAUACCUCGGGGGGAUGACGGUACCGGAAGAAUAAGCACCGGCUAACUACGUGCCAGCAGCCGCGGUAAUACGUAGGGUGCAAGCGUUAAUCGGAAUUACUGGGCGUAAAGCGUGCGCAGGCGGUUUUGUAAGACGGAUGUGAAAUCCCCGGGCUUAACCUGGGAACUGCAUUCGGGACUGCAAGGCGAGAGUAUGGCAGAGNGGGGUAGAAUUCCACGUGUAGCAGUGAAAUGCGUAGAGAUGUGGAGGAAUAACGAUGGCGAAGGCAGCCCCCUGGGCCAAUACUGACGCUCAUGCACGGAAGCGUGGGGAG